RNAcentral lists this long non-coding RNA (215 nucleotides) under Capsicum annuum. Its description in RNAcentral is "long non-coding RNA (CANN_LNC011798)". The record is from RNAcentral. Lineage: Eukaryota; Viridiplantae; Streptophyta; Magnoliopsida; Solanales; Solanaceae.
UGAUAACAACUUUCUGCAUUCCUUGUUCUGAAUUACAAUCAUGCUUCUUUUAUGUGCUGGACUUUUGUCUUGCUUUAUGCAAUUGAAGAAGUUGGUAGCCAGUUUUGAAAUCUUUUCUCACUUGCUUUGACAUUGAUUUGACUCAAAUACACGAGAAAAAUGACUUUCCAUUUGAAUAACUAACUCAAGAAAAUAAAAUAAAAAUAUAAAUAAAG